Molecule: long non-coding RNA, 913 nt
Filed under: Trifolium pratense (red clover)
Lineage: Eukaryota; Viridiplantae; Streptophyta; Magnoliopsida; Fabales; Fabaceae
Description: long non-coding RNA (TPRA_LNC007661)
Source: RNAcentral
AGACAUUGUUAUGUAAUUAUCAUUCCUUUUGACAAUAUGUGGAUACCCCCUCCCAGCUAAAUGGAAAGAAGACAAGAAAACCUUUAUCCUAAUUCCUAAAAGAUUUGAAUAUUCUUAUAUUCUCACCAGAAUUGGAGUAUUAAUUCUAUUUUUUUUUAAAUAAAUUAUUUUAGAGGACCAUGAUGAAGCAUGGUUUUGUUUUUGUUGUUAAGCUGCCCUUAUCAUGGGUCCCUGUCUCUUUGAGCAUGUGUGGAUAAGCCACUUGCAGGUCAUUGUCAUUUAGUAUGAGGAAGAAAAAUCUAAUCUUUGCCUACUUUCAUUCUUCACCUUGAAAUUAGGAUUAAAUUUUAUUUCAGUUUUUUUUUAUUUAAUUUACCAUUUUAUCAAUGUGAGAAAAUAAAACUAAGAAAAAUAAAUAUUCACAGCAGUUUAAUGAAGGCUUGAAAAACGACUAACCUUAUAUUAUUAUAACCCACUCACUCCGACCUUAAUUAUAAGUAAAUUUUCACUUUUUAGAAUCAUUGAAUAACUAAUGUAUCUCAUCUUACUUAUAGACUAGAUACAUUAGUUAUCAAAUGAAUCUAAAAAAUAAUUUUUUUUAUAAUUAAGGCUAAAGAAAGUAUAAAUUCAUAUUAUUAAAAUACUAUUUUAGUAACAAUCAUUUACUUAAGAGCAGUAACUUGUCCACAAAUCUCAGCUCAACUGGUAGAAAUACCGAAAUUAAUAGUGUCAGACACCGGAACCAAAGUUCGAACCCCGGUCACUUCAAUGACUUUUGCCAUUUCGUCUAUAAAAAAAAAGAGCAGGUAACUUUUUUAGUAGCUUAGGAUGUUUAAUGAGAAGAUGAAAAAAAAAGUAUUUAUCAUAUAUAUUGAAUAAUUCUUCUAAUGAAGUUUUUCUUUGGCACAUAAGU